Molecule: long non-coding RNA, 843 nt
Organism: Cyanistes caeruleus (blue tit)
Lineage: Eukaryota; Metazoa; Chordata; Aves; Passeriformes; Paridae
Source: RefSeq, a predicted model, not a curated record
GAGCGAGCCUCCGGAACAGACCCGCGGGGAGCGAGACUCCGGAACAGACCCGCGGGGAGCGAGCCUCCGGGACCGAGCCGCGGGGAGCGAGCCUCCGGAACAGACCCGCGGGGAGCGAGCCUCCGGAGCGCGGGUCGCGGAGCGGGCUGGCCAGCACUCUGGGGGCGGGCGCAGCCAGACCCGUAGCUCUUGCUUUCGCCUCCCCCGAGCUCCAGAGUUAAAGUCUGUGUUAUAACUCCGGAACUGGGGGCAGAGGAGCAGGCGGACGCGCGCUAGAGGGGAGCGAGCAGCCCUCGGUCCCGCUCUGCGUCUGACACCCCCUCGUGCGCUCCACGGAGAGAGAUGCUCCCCUGCUCCCCUGCUCCCCCGACUCCCGAAGGUGUCACGGUUAGCGAACAUGUGCUGACAGACGAGUCGUGGCCCAUAGUGUAGUUCCUAAAGGAAAGUGUCUGUGUGCAUCCCGGUCCGUAAGAGCCGCCUCUCCCUGCUGUAACUUUUAAGCUUCUUGGGGUAAGAAUUGUAACAGGUUCUGAUCUGCAGAAAAAACUAACCAAGGCAGCUGCUCCAAAUUCAAUAUAGGAAAACCACCAUCAGAAGCAAACUGAACUAGAAGCAAAAAGUUCAAGUACUUGCUGCCCUUUUGCAGGAUCUUUUACAAGGGGCUACACUACAAGCUAAAGCAGACGGUGACACAAAUGAAAUGGGAAACUCGGGAGCCAAGAGCACAACAGUAAUGUGUGUUAAAUAAAGUAUUUAAUGAAAUGACAACAAAAAAAUGCUCUGCCGUGAUUUGGGCCAGCAUUUGACACAGAGAGUUUUUUGGCUCUUCGGCCGCAGUUACAC